Molecule: ribosomal RNA, 497 nt
Filed under: uncultured bacterium
Lineage: Bacteria
Description: partial 16S ribosomal RNA
Rfam family: Bacterial small subunit ribosomal RNA
Source: RNAcentral
GAUGAACGCUGGCGGCGUGCCUAAUACAUGCAAGUCGAGCGAACAGACGAGGAGCUUGCUCCUCUGACGUUAGCGGCGGACGGGUGAGUAACACGUGGAUAACCUACCUAUAAGACUGGGAUAACUUCUGGAAACCGGAGCUAAUACCGGAUAAUAUAUUUAACCGUAUGUUUCAAUAGUGAAAGACGGUUUUGCUUUCACUUAUAGAUGGAUCCGCGCCGCAUUAGCUAGUUGGUAAGGUAACGGCUUACCAAGGCAACGAUGCUUAGCCGACCUGAGAGGGUGAUCGGCCACACUGGAACUGGGACACGGUCAAGACUCCUACGGGAGGAAGAAGUAGGGAAUCUUCCGAAAGGGGCGAAAGCCUGACGGAGAAACGCGGCGUGAGUGAUGAAGGUCUUCGGAUCGUAAAACUCUGUUAUUAGGGAAGAACAAAUGUGUAAGUAACUAUGCACGUCUUGACGGUACCUAAUCAGAAAGCCACGGCUAACUACGUG